GACAGAGGGUGCGAACGUUGUUCGGAAUUACUGGGCGUAAAGCGCAUGUAGGCGGCAGCGCAAGUCGGGCGUGAAAUCCCACGGCUCAACCGUGGAAGUGCACUCGAAACUGCGCAGCUAGAGUCCUGGAGAGGAAGGUGGAAUGCUUGGUGUAGAGGUGAAAUUCGUAGAUAUCAAGCGGAACACCGGUGGCGAAGGCGGCCUUCUGGGACAGUGACUGACGCUGAGAUGCGAAAGCGUGGGGAGCAAACAGGG
Molecule: ribosomal RNA, 255 nt
Filed under: uncultured bacterium
Lineage: Bacteria
Description: partial 16S ribosomal RNA
Rfam family: Bacterial small subunit ribosomal RNA
Source: RNAcentral